Molecule: ribosomal RNA, 266 nt
Filed under: uncultured bacterium
Lineage: Bacteria
Description: partial 16S ribosomal RNA
Rfam family: Bacterial small subunit ribosomal RNA
Source: RNAcentral
UGGGUUAGUGGCGGACGGGUGAGUAACGCGUGGGUAACCUGCCUUACACAGGGGGAUAACACGUUAGAAAUAGGUGCUAAAACCGCAUAAGCGCACAGCUUCGCAUGAAGCGGUGUGAAAACUCCGGUGGUGUAAGAUGGACCCGCGUCUGAUUAGCUUGUUGGCGGGGUAACGGCCCACCAAGGCGACGAUCAGUAGCCGGCCUGAGAGGGCGGACGGCCACAUUGGGACUGAGACACGGCCCAGACUCCUACGGAAGGCAGCAG